RNAcentral lists this long non-coding RNA (12201 nucleotides) under Lynx pardinus (Iberian lynx). Lineage: Eukaryota; Metazoa; Chordata; Mammalia; Carnivora; Felidae. The record is from RNAcentral.
AGUCUUUUCGAAAAUCAUCGUGGAGUUAGAGGUGUAGGGAUCACAGGUGAGUUACUUGGCUAUUUAAGCUUAUAUCAGUGUCCCCAGAAACUUAUUCUAAGACUCCUUUCUGUCCAUCCAAAAACUGUUUUCGUGAAGCCAGAGCUCCAAACCUGUGACUUUUCCUGAAGCACACAGACCCCUGGAACAUAUAGUUUAGCUCCUGCCCCGUUUCCCCCUCAGCUCUUUGAGGGACUCAAGUGAUCAGCCAGGUAGUAAGCUGAGGAAUGAUAAUAAGGAUAGAAACCAUCUGCCCAGUGCCCCAAGUACCAUUGUCUCUGUUACAUAACUGUAAUCUCGAUAACUUAUUGUGGAGACUGUCGUCAUCUCAUUACCACCACUGAGGGAAUUCAGGCUUAAGAGAUGUUAGUAAACCCCACAAUUUUAUUUAAACAGUGCUUAAUUUUGGGUGAGUUAUGUAUCACUCAUGUAUGUGUUCAUUUAAUAUUUCUGCUAUGUUUUCACGGAGGCUCAAGGAGACAACAGUGAUUAAGUUGGUAUUAUAAUCCUGGUCAAAUAAGCUCCAUGUUUUAUAUGAUUUUCCAUCUAAUAUUCGUCUCUAGUCUCGUCUUCUCCAGGGCACACAAACUCACUGCCUUCAACUUUCUGAAACCACAAUAGCUUCAAGAUCCCUUAUCAUAAAAGUCUCCUCUCAACACAUUUUGGUUUGUCAAUGCCAUUCUUUCUUUUUUUUUUUUUUUAAGUUUUGAGAUACAGCAUGAGUAGAGGAGAGGCAGAGAGAGGGAGACAGAGAAUCUCAAGCAGGCUCCUCGCUGUCAGCACAGAGCCUGAUGCGGGGUGCAAACUCACGAAACCAUGAGAUCAUGACCUGAGCCGAAACCAAGAGUCAGACACUUAACUGACUGAGCCACCCUGGUGCCCCACCAACGCCAUUCUCGAAAUAAAACACUCAGACUUUAAUUCCUAGUUGUGGGAACUUCAGCAAAAAUAAAACCAAAAUAAGCCCUAAUUCAGGACACCCCUACCCCCAACAUGGGGCUCCAACUCACGACACUGAUAUCAAGAGGCAUGUGCUUUACUGAAUAAGCCAGCCAGGUGUCCCUAAUUCAUGAUGCUAUUAAAUAUAGACAAAGAAGAAAACUAAUUUUUAGAAAAAAAUUGUGUUACCAUUGUGUUACUAGCACCAAGUGCUAAGUUGAGUAUCGAGUUUUUGAAAGACCUUGGGUCGGACAGUUAAGUAAUAUUUAGUGGAAUGUUAGAAUGUCUAUAGAGAUUGGAAAGGUCAUGUGGCAUUGAGAUCAGAGUUGCCUUUACUGCUCACAUGAACCUCUUAAUAAUGACUAUUAUUUAUGGAGCAGUUUCCAAGUAUCAGCUACUGUGCAAGGUAUAGGACUGGAGAUAUCUUUUUAUUCUAUUUAGUAACUAUUAUUUCUAUAAAACACAAAGGGCAUCUCAGGUUCAGAAGGUCAAAUAGCCUAAUUAGAAACUCUCAGAUAGUAAAGUAGCAACAACAAGAAUCAAAUCCAUGGUUGUGCUGACGAAACCCAAAGCAAAUUACUGAAUUUUGGACCAUUUUCAUUUCUGCCCAAGGCCCCAGUUCCUCAUCUGUAAAAUCAGCAGUUUGAAUCACAGCGUCUAUAUAAGUGAUGGUGUGCUGGAGUGGACUGUGAGAGCUGAUGGUUUUAUUUUCCACCAAAAGGCUGCUAGAACUGAUACAUGAAUUCAGCAAAGUCGCAGGAUACAAAAUUAACGUACAGAAAUCAGUUGCAUUCUUAUAUACUAAUAAUGACGCAACAGAAAGACAAAGAAACUGAUCCCAUUCACAACUGCACCAAGAAUCAUAAAGUACCUAGGAAUAAACCUAACCAAAGAUGUAAAAUAUUUGUAUGCUGAAAACUAUAGAAAGCUUAUGAAGGAAAUUGAAGAAGAUACAAAGGAAUGGAAAAACAUUCUGUGCUCAUGGAUUGGAAGAAUAAAUAUUGUUAAAAUGUCAAUACUACCCAAAGCAAUCUACACAUUCAAUGCAAUCCCAAUCAAAAUUGCACCAGCAUUCUUCUCGAAGCUAGAAUAAGCAAUCCUAAAAUUUGUAUGGAACCACAAAAGACCCCGAAUUGCCAAAGUAAUAUUGAAGAAGAAAACCAAAGCAGGAGGCAUCACAAUCCCAGACUUUAGCCUCUACUAAAAGCUGUAAUCAUCAAGACAGCAUGGUAUUGGCACAAAAACAGACACAUAGACCAAUGCAAUCAAAUAGAGACUCCAGAAUUGGACCCACAAAAGUACGGCCAACUAAUCUUUGACAAAGCAGGAAAGAAUAUCUAAUGGAAAAAAGACAGUCUCUUUAACAAAUGGCGCUGGGAGAACUUGACAGCAACAUACAGAAGAAUGAAACUAGACCACUUUCUUACACCAUUCACAAAAAUAAACUCAAAAUGGAUAAAGGACCUGGAUGUGAGACAAGAAACCAUCAAAACCCUGGAGGAGAAAGGGAAAAACCUCUCUGACCCCAGUCGCAGCAGUUUCUUACUUGACGCAUCUCCAAAGGCAAGGGAAUUAAAAGCAAAAAUGAACUAUUGGGACCUCAUCAAGAUAAAAAGCUUCUGUACUGUGAAGGAAACAAUCAAUAAAACUAAAAGGCAACCGACAGAAUGGGAAAAGAUAUUUGCAAAUGAUGUAUCAGACAAAGGGCUAGUAUCCAAAAUCUAUAAAGAACUCACCAAACUCCACACCCAGAAAACAAAUAAUCCAGUGAAGAAGUGGGCAGAAAACAUGAAUAGACACUUCUCUAAAGAAGACACCCAGAUAGCCAACAGGCAUAUGAAAAGAUGCUCAAUGUCGCUCCUCAUCAGGAAAAUACAAAUCAAAACCACACUGAGAUACCACCUCACAUUGGCCAGAGUGGCUAACAUUAACAACUCAGGAAACAACAGAUGUUGGAGAGGAUAUGGAGAAACAGAAACCCUCUUGCACUGUCGGUGGGAAUGCAAACUGGUGCAGCCACUCUGGAAAACAGUGUGGAGGUUCCUCAAAAAAUUAAAAAUAGAACUACCCUACGAGCCAGCAAUAGCACUGCUAGGAAUAUGCCCAAGGGAUACAGGAGUUCUGAUGCAUAAGGGCACUUGUACCCCAGUGUUUAUAGCAGCACUUUCAACAGCAGCCCAAUUAUGGAAAGAGCCUAAAUGUCCAUCAACUGAUGAAUGGAUAAAGAAAUUGUGGUUUAUAUACACAAUAGAAUACUACGUGGCAAUGAGAAAGAAUGAAAUCUGGCCUUUUGUAGCCACAUGGAUGGAACUGGAGAGUGUUUUGCUAAGUGAAAUAAGUCAGGCAGAGAAAGGCAGAUACCAUAUGUUUUCACUCUUACGUGGAUCCUGAGAAAGUGUACAGAAGACCCUAGGGGAGGGGAAGGAAAAAAAAGUUACAGAGAUGGAAGGAGGCCAACCAUAAGAGACUUUUAAAAACUGAGAACAAACUGAGGGUUGAUGGGGGGUGGGUGAUGGGUAUUGAGGAGGGCACCUGUUGGGAUGAGCACUGGGUGUUGUAUGAAAACCAAUUUGACAAUGAAUUUCAUAUGAAAAAAAUUUGUGAGCUAGUUUUAAACAGAACCAUCAUUGACAAACUAGAUAAACUUCACAUUACAUUAAACAUUUAAAUGAACAUUCAUAACAUUAAAAACUAUUCAAAACUCAUUUACUAAUUUUUUUUUUACUUCAUUUGGCCUAUCUGUGCUCUUGAGUCCAUUUAUAUUUUGUAUCUCUAUGGGAGAAAGAGUGUACAUUGCUGUGCUGCCAUUGUUUCCUUGCUUUCAGUUCAGCGAGGCCCUAUUGGUGGCUUCGUACCUACCAGGCAAGAGUAUUUACACAAUGGAAAUCAGCAAAUGCUAAAAAUCAAGGCUUGGUUUAUUGUUUUGUUGGUUGUGUGGACUUAUGAAAUUGAUAGAAAACAAUUAUAUAAAGUAAAAAGUGUGUCAUAUCUAUGGGUAUUACAUGUGAGUAGCACAAAAAAAAAUGACAAAAUACUCCUCUAAUAUUUGAAAACUACUAUACAAUUCAGAAAAGUUACUCAACCUCAUUAAUAAACGAGAAGUGCCAACAUGUCUCUGUUGUUUUAUCUCAUUAACAGAAAUGAAAAAAUAUCAACCGACAUGUUCAGGAAAGAGGGUAGAGUAGGAGGAUUCUGGGCUCACCUCAUCCCAUGGACUCACUGACAUAAUAGCUCUAUAGCUCGUUCUGUCUCUCUUCUCUUCUCUCUCUCUCUCUCUCUCUCUCUCUCUCUCUCUCUCUAUAUAUAUAUAUAUAUAUAUAUCAUGUACUAUAUAUACAAUGAACUCUGAAAAUGACCUGAGGACUGGCAGAAUGGUCCUUCUAUGGUUAAUCAUAGAAAGGCGGCCAUAUUAGAAAAGGGUAGGAGGGGCAGAGACAUGGUUGGGAACCAAACCCCCAGUGAGACUAACCACAAACAGGAGCGACACCACCAGCAUAGAGAAGAGGAUUAGACCCCACACAAGGGACCCCUGACACUGGGGACCUAGGAAGAUGAGUCCCCUUAACAUCUGGCUUUGAAAACCACUAGGGCUUAAUGUCAGGAGCUUUUUAAAAUCAGCAGGACUUAACUCAGAGAGCCUGAGGGCCGAUAGGAAACUGAGGCCCCACCCUUUAAGAGCCAGCCUAAUAAAUAACUCACCCUGAGACAAAGCACAGAAGCAGCAAUUUGAAAAGAGCCUGUGGUAUACAUGAAAGAGAUUUAUUUGCUAAUCUCAGAACAUGUGCUGGAGGGACAGGGAUCUUCAGGAGAUUUCUCUGGGAACCAAACUGUCGGCAAGUGUCAUUUCUCUUCCCCCCAACCCCAGCCUAGAUGGGUGGACGCUUGUGGGAGCCCGUGCUAACACUCUCCAUCUACCUUGCGAAAAAACUGCGUGCCCUGCCCUUGUGUUUCCCGCUGUGGACCUGCCCCCAUCCAACCUGCCCACCUCACGAGACCUCCCUUGAAAGUGGCUCCUGCCCCACGAGCAGCCCUAUCACGGACUGGCACCCCUCCGAAGUGACUCCUGCCCUGGGGAGCGAGGGAAAUCACCCUACACACCAGCGCCUGCAGUUUCAGUGGCCUGCCCCUUAGCUGGCUGCUCAGGGAGCAACCCCCGACCAUCGGUGCGCCUGCAGUUGUGGCCGAGAGGCUAAUUGCAGACAGCUAGCCUGACUGCCAGCCCCACCAAAGAGCCAAAGAGCCUGUGGUGGCCUCAGGCCUCUCAACGGCGUGGGGAUAGCCCUGCCCAGUGCAUCCACAGCAGGCGAAGCAGGCUCGGCAGCUGGCGGGGCUGAAGGCAAACGCAGCUCUGCCACAAGAGUGGGGUGCAUGCAGCACCCCCAGACACGCUGGGAUGUCUGGUUCUUGGUGAUGAGGAGGGAUUGUGCUAGAGGGCGCCACAGAACCUCUUCUACGCAAGGCCGCUACUUUCAAGACCAGGAGACAUAGCUGACCUGAUCCACAGAAACAGAUUAGACAAAAAGGAGCCUGAGGUUCGGUCUUAAGUGUAGGAUGAGACAAAAUAAAAAGGCUAAGUGAAGAAACCAAGAUAAGCAAUAUACCUGAUGAAUAAUUCAAAGUCACGGUCAUACACGUGAAAAGAUGCUGAACAUUACUCAUGAUCAGGGAAAUACAGAUCAAAACCACAUUGAGAUACCACCUCACACCAGUCAGAGUGGCUAAAAUGAACAAGUCGGGAAACAACAGAUGCUGGCAAGGAUGUGGAGAAACGGGAGUCCUCUUGCACUGUUGGUGGGAAUGCAAACUGGUGCAGCUGCUCUGGAAAACAGUGUGGAGGUUCCUCAAAAAAUUAAAAGAGAACUACCCUAUGACCCAGCAAUAGCACUACUAGGAAUUUAUCCCAAUGAUAUGGGAGUGCUGAUUCAUAUGGGCACAUGUACCCCAAUGUUUAUAGCAGCACCUUCAACAAUAGCCAAAUUAUGGAAAGAACCUAAAUAUCCAUCAACUGAUGAAUGGAUAAAGAAGAUGUAGUUUAUAUAUUCAAUGGAAUACUACUUGGCAAUGAAAAAGAAUAAUAUCCUGCCAUUUGCAGCAAUGUGAAUGGAACUGGAGGGCAUUAUGCCAAGUGAAAUAAGUCAGUCAGAGAAAGAUAUCAUGAGUUUCUCAAGUUCCACAUAUGAGUGAAAACAUUACAGAAGACCAUGGGGGAAGGGAAGGGGAAAAAUAGUUACAGAGAAGGAGGGAGGAAAAUCAUAAGAGACUCUUAAAUACAGAGAACAAACUGAGGGUUGAUUGCAGCAGGUGGGGGAAUGGGGGAAAUGGGUGAUGAGCAUUGAGGAGGGCACUUGUUGGCAUGAACACUGGGUGUUGGUUGUAUGGGAGCAAUAAGUCAGAGGAAUCUACCCCCAAAACCAAGAGCACACUAUACACUGUGUGUUAGCCAACUUGACAAUAAAUUAUAUUAAAACACACACACACACACACACACACACACACACACACACACACACAAAGUCAUGGUCAUAAAGAUACUCACUGGACUUAAGAGUGAAUGAACUCCAUGAAAACUUCUACAAAGAGGUAGAAAAGAUACACACACACAGAUGAAUUUAAUAACUGAAAUUAAAAAAAAAAUACACUAGAGGGAAUCAACAGAUUAGGAGGCAGAAGAUGGGAUCAGCAUUCCAGAAGACAGGGUAAUGGAAAGCAACCAAGCUGAAUGCCAAAAAGGAAAAAGAACAACAAAAAUGAGAAUUGGUUAAGGGAACUCUGUGACAUCAAUAAGUGUAAGAACAUUCACAUCAUAGUGAUCCCAAAAGGAGGAGAGACAGAAGGGGGUAGAAGAUCUAUUGGAAGAAAUAAUACCUGAAAACAUUCCCCGUCUGUAGAAGGAAACAGACAUCCAAGUCCAGGAAACACAGAGAGCCCCUAACAAGAUUAACCCUUGGAGGUCACAUAAUAAUAAAAGACACAUAAUAAUAAAAAUGGCAAAAGUAACAACAAAAAGAAUGUUAAAAGCAGCAAGAGAAAGAAAAAGUUACCUAAAAGGGAAACUCUGUAAGGCUUUAGCCGAUUUUUUUUUUAACAGAAACUUUGCAAGCCAGGGUCAGAAGCAGGAUAUUCACCAUGCAGAAAGGAAAAAAAAACAAAACAAAAAAACAACUGAGAAUACUCUACAAAGCAAGGUUAUCAUUCAGAAUUGAAGAGAUAAAGAAUUUACCAAACAAAAGAUAGGAGUUCACUGCCACUAAAUCAGACAAGAAAUGUUAAAGGGAAUUCAUUGUAAAGUAAAGGCCACACCUAGAAGAAAAUUAUGGGAAAAAUUCAUAGGUAAAAUAAGCAUUUAGUAAAGGUAAUAGAUUAAUCACUUAUAAAGCCAGUAUGGAGGUUAAAACACCUAAGUAGUAAAAUCAGCUAUAUCUACAAAAAUCAGUCAAGAGUACUCAAAAUAAAAAGUUGUAAACUAUGACAUCAAAUACAUAAAACAUCAAGGAGGUAAAAUUUUAGUACUUAUACAAUUUGUUUGACUUAAGCAAGCAGCAACUUAAUAUAGACUGCUAUAUACAUAGGAUGUUCUAUAUGAAACCAGUGGUAACCACACAUCAAUAACCUGUCAUAGAUACAUAAGAAAUAAUAAGAAAGGAAUCCAAGCAUAAGACUAGAAGCCAUCAUACCACAAAGAAAGAAAGACAAAAAAGGAACAGAAGAACUAUAUAAACAACCAGAAAAUAAUUAACAAAAUAACAGUAAGUACAUACUUGUCAAUAAUUAAUUUAAAUGUAAAUGGACUAGGUGCUCCCAUCAAAAGACAUAGGGUGACUGAAUGGAUUAAAAAACAAGACCCAUCUAUAUACCGCCUGCAAGAGACUCACUUCAGAUCUAAAGACAAAUAUAGACUGAAAGUAAAGGGAUGGAAAAACACAUACCAUGCAAAUGGAUGUGGGGGGAAAAAAGCCAGGGUAGCAAUACUUCUAUCAGACAAAAUGGACUUUAAAACAAAGACUGUAGCAUGAGACAAAGAAGGGUACUACAUAGUAAUAAAGGGAUCAAUCCAAUAAGAGGAUAUAACAACUGUAAUUAUCUAUAUACCCAACGCAGGACCACCUAAAUAUAUACGGCAUGUACUAACAGACAUAAAGGGAGAAAUUGACAGUAAAGCAAUAGCAGGGCACUUUAACACCCCAUGUCCAUCGGUGGAUAGAUCAUCCAGCCUGAAAAAUCAAGGAAACAGUGGCUUUGAAUGACACAUUAGACGAGAUGGACCUAAUAGAUAUAUAAAGAGCAUUAUUCCAGACCCAGAAGAAUAUAUAUUCUUUUCAAGUGCAUAUGGGACAUUCUCCAGGCUAGAUUACAUGUUAGGCCACACAAAAAAAAGCCACAGUAAAUUUGAGAAGACUGAAAUCAUACCAAGUGUCUUUUCUGACCACAACAGUAUUAAACUAGGUAUCAAUUACAAGGGGAAAAAAAAAUCUGGAAAGAACACAAAUACAUGGAGGCUAAAUAACAUGCUACUAAACAAUAAAUGGGUCCACUCAGAAAUCAUCAAUAAAAAAAUACCUAGAGACAAGUGAAAAUGAAAACACAUUGGUCCAAAAUCUUGGGAUACGGCAAAAGCAGUUUUAAGAGGGAAGUUUAUAGCAAUACAGGUAUACCUCAAGAAACAAGAAAAAUCUGAAAAAAAAAAAGCUAACCUUACACCUAAGGGAGCUAGAAAGAGAAGAACAAACACAUUAGUUCUACCAAGUAUUUAAAGAAGAGUUAAUACCUAUUCUCAAACUAUUCAAAAAAAUAGAAGUAGAAGGAAAGCUUCCAAAAGCAUUCUACAAAAUUAGUAUUACCCUGAUACCAAAACCAGACAAACACUACAAAAACAAAAUGAAAAAACUACAUGUCAAUAUGCCUAAUGAACAUUGAGCAAAAUCUGCAACGAAACAUUAACAAAGUGAAUUUAAAAAUACAUUUAAAAAAAUUAUUCACCACAAUAAAGUGGGAUUUAUUUCAGGAUAUUAGCAUUAUUUAAUAUUAUCAAUCAACCUGAUACAUUAUAUUAACAAGCAAAAGGAUAAGAACCAUAUGAUCUUCUCAAUAGGUGUAGGAAAAGUAUUUGACAAAAUACAAUGUCCAUUCUUGAUAAAAACUCAACAAAGGGAGUUUCAGAGAAAACAUACAUCAACAUAAUAAAGGCCACAUAUGAGAAGCCCACAGUUAACAUCAUAUUCAAUGGUGAAAAACUGAAAGUCUUUCCUCUAAAGGUCAAGAACAAGAAAGGAUGCUUACGCUCACCACUUUACUUCAACAUAGUACUAGAAGUCUUAGCUCCAGCAAUGGGACAAUAACAAGAAAUAAAAGGCAUCCAAAUUGGCAAAAAGCAAUACUAUUACUAUUUGUACAUGACAUACUAUAUAGAGAAAACUCUAAAAACUCCACCAAAAAAAAUCUAUAGGAAUGGAUAGAGGAAUUCAGUAAAGUUGCAAGAUAUAGAAUACACAGAAAUCUGUUGCAUGUCUAUAUACUAAUAAUGAAGUAGAAGAAAGAGAAAUUAAGAAAACAACUCCAUUUGCAAUUGCACCAUAAAUAAAAUACCUAAGAAUAAAUUUAACCAAGGAAGUAAAAGACCUGUAUUUUGAAAACUAUAACAACAUUGAUAAAAGAAAUUGAAGACAAAAAUGGAAAUAUACUCCAUACUCAUGGAUUAGAAGAAUUAAUAUUAUUAAGAAGUCCAUUACUACCCAAAGUAACCCACAGAUUGAACUAAUCUCUAUCAAAAUGCCGAAAGCCUUUUCGCAGAACUGGGAUAAAUAAUCCUAAAAUUUGUAUGUGACCACAAAAGAUCCUAAACAGUCAAAACAAUCUUGAGAAAGAACAAAGCACAAUCCCAGUAUCACAAUCCCAGAUUUCAUGAUAUAACACAAGGCUAUAGUGAUCAAAACAGUAUGAUAUUAGCACAAGAAUAGACACAGAUUCAUCGAACAGGAUAAAGAAACCAGAAAUAAACCCACACCUAUAUGGUCAAUUAAUCUUCAACAAAAGGAGGCAAGAAUAUACAACAGGAAAAAGACAGUCUUUUCGAUAAAUGAUGUUGAUAACACCACUUUCUUACACCAUACACAAAAAUAAACUCAAAAUGGAUUAAAAACCUAAAUCUGAGACCUGAAACCAUAGAACCCCUGAAUGAAAACAUAAGCAGUAAUCUCUUGGACAUCAGCCUUAGCAACAUACUUAUGGAUAUUUUUCCUCAGGCAGCAGAAAUGAAAGCAAAAACAAUUAAUUGUGACUACACUAAAAUAAAGUUUUUGCACAGAAAAGGAAACCAUCAACAAAAAGGCAACCCAGUGAAUAGAAGAUAUCUAUAAAUAAUAUAACUGAUUAGUGUAUGUAAAUAUUAAUAUAACUGACAAGGGAUUAAUAUCCAAAAUAUAUAAAGAACUUAUACAACUCAAUACCAAAAAAAACACACACACACACACACACACAAAAACAAACAAAAAACUAAUCUGUUUUAAAAAAAAUAAGCAGAGGACCAGAAUAAACAUUUUUCCAAAGGAGACCUAUAGAUGGCCAACAGACACAUGGAAAGAUGCUCAACAUCACUAAUCAUUAGGGAAAUGCAAAUCAAAAUGACAAUGAGAUAACACUUCACACCACUCAGGGUAGCUAGUAUCAAAAAGACAAGAAAUAGGGGCACCUGGGUGGCUCAGUCAGUUAUGCAUCCAACUCUUGAUUUCAAUUCUGGUCAUGAUCUUAUGGUUCAAGAGAUCGAGCCCCGAGUCGGGCUCUGUGCUGACACUGUGGAACUUACUUGCAAUUUUUUCUCUCUCUCUCUCUCUGCCUCUCCUCUGCUCAUGCUCUCACUCAAAAUAAAUAAAUAAACUUAAAAAAAGAAAAGACAAGUAAUAACAAGUGUUGGAGAGGAUGUAUAAAAAUGGGAACUCUCCUGUUAUUGGUGAGGAUGUAAAUUGGUAUAACCACUGUGGAAAACAGUAUGGGUCUUCUUCAAACAGAUAAAAAUGAUAACAAUAUAUGAUCUAGUAAUUCCACUACUAGGUAUUUACCCCCCAAAACCAAAAACUCUAAUUUGAAAAAAAAAAACAAGCACGUAUAGUUUUAUUGCAGCAUUAUUUACAAUAGCUAAGAUAUGGAAGCAACCCAAGUGUCUAUGAAUAGACAAAUGGAUAAAGAAGUGGUAUGUAUACAUAAUGAAAUACUACUCAGCCAUAAAAAAGAAUGAAACCUUGCCAUUUGUGACAACAUGGAGAAUCUAGAAGGUUUUAUGCUAAGUCAGAGAGAGACAAAUAUAAAUACCAUAUGAUUUCACUUACAUGUGGAACCUAAAAAAAAAAAAAAAAAUCCAGACUCUUAAAUACAGAGAAAAAAUGGGUGGUUGCCAGAUAGAAGACAAAUAGAAGUAUAGUAUAGGUAAUAUAGUCAAUAAUAUUAUAAUAAAGUUGAAUGGUGACAGUGAAUAUACUUACUGUGCUGAGCAUGAAGUAAUGUUAGAAUUAAUGUUUAGUGACAAUCAGUUGGCUAUAUGAAAUUUAUAAUUAAAAAGACUUUUUAAUUUGUGUUAUGCUUUCCUUAUAGCAAUAUGUUUAAAUAUAAAUCUAUGUGUACACACAUACACGUGUAAGACACUGGGGGUUGGUUGUUGAAUGUCUACCAACGCUUGGCUGCUUUGGGGUUUUUCUCAUCUUCAAUAUUGUAGGAGCCUAACUAGGACCAGGUGGAGACCACAGGGCGCCAGGCACUAUGAAGAACUGGUCCAAUCAUUGCAGGUGUUUGCGGUUGGAACGGGCUGUCUCAAGAGGUGGUGAGAUCCUGUUACUGCGCUGACACCAAGGCCACUCCACAGGGGAGAAGAGGGUGCAGAUGAUGUUGGAUGUGCUUCCUUCUCAACCGGAAAGUUUCACACCCAAUAGGGAAGAGGGAGUCAGAGUGAGAGGUGGGUAUGGCACCCGUGAGGCAAUGGCCGAUGGCUCUUGCCUGCUUUCAAGCUCAGAACGUAUCAGUCAAGAGUCUUAUCAACUUAUUGAUAUCCCUUAAUCAAUGGAAACUCCCUGGGUGGCCAGAGACAGAAUACAUUGCUCCUUGAGUUAAUCCCCUUCACUAUGGUGUAUGCUUCCUCAGUUGCUGUGCAUUUUAGGUGUUUGCGUGGUAGCUUCUCAUCUGAGAAUUUAUGCCUUCUGUGGCUGAGGCUUGUGCCUCGCCAUAAAUAAAAGAGUUGCU